RNAcentral lists this long non-coding RNA (667 nucleotides) under Cyanistes caeruleus (blue tit). RNAcentral's name for it is "lncRNA (ENSCCEG00000007870.1)". Lineage: Eukaryota; Metazoa; Chordata; Aves; Passeriformes; Paridae. The record is from RNAcentral.
AAAAAGUGGUAUUUUUAUAUGUUUCAUUUAUAAUGAAACAAUUAGAAUCAAAGGUGAUACUAUAAAACAAGUAAAGAUAUAGGUACAUUUAGAAUUAGGGGGAAAAGCUCCAGUUUUCCCACUGCAUUCCAGAGGUAAUGGAAACUUGAUUUCCCGUUUUAUCGCUGAUAAAGACUUUCUGAAUAGAAUUAUGUGAGCAACAUAAUCUCUUAACAUUUCAUUGGCAAGAAAAGCAGUGAGGAUUAAUCAGCUGCUAUUUGGUAGGGCUAGGAGGCUGAAAGAGCAGGGCCACAUUUGUGUUUGGAUAAAACCUUAAUAUGUCCUAAUUUGUUUAUGACAGCAACAGGCCUAAAGAUGUCUUUUGAAUUUUGUUUACAGAAAGUAUAUUCUGAGCUCAGCCUGGGAGACUGCAAAAUAAUCAGACGUUUAUGAAAAGUUUUUGAGAACCAGAGCUGAAUUCUGGUCAGUUCUCCCCUGUGGACCAUGCACCAGAACAAUCUUCUAAUUGAGUAUAGCCAUCAACUGGUGAAUAGACAUCCAUUUGCCAGUGGAACACACCAGCUGGACCUCACUAUAGAGAGCAAACAGGUAAGACAGGACUGUUUUGAAGUUAGGAUGGCUGUAGACAGUCUCUACAUAUGGUAUCUAUCAUCCAAAACUGCUAAAG